RNAcentral lists this ribosomal RNA (625 nucleotides) under Sterigmatomyces elviae. RNAcentral's name for it is "partial large subunit ribosomal RNA". It matches the Rfam family "Eukaryotic large subunit ribosomal RNA", at positions 48 to 657 of the family's 3401-position model. Lineage: Eukaryota; Fungi; Basidiomycota; Agaricostilbomycetes; Agaricostilbales; Agaricostilbaceae. The record is from RNAcentral.
AAGCGGAGGAAAAGAAACUAACAAGGAUUCCCCUAGUAACGGCGAGUGAAGUGGGAAGAGCUCAACUUUGUAAUCUGGCUGCUUCGCAGUCCGAGUUGUAGUCUAAAGAAGCAUGAUCCGCGCCGGACCUUGGGCAUGUCUGUUGGAAAGCAGUGUCAAAGAGGGUGAUAAUCCCGUACAUACCAAGGACGACCGUGUGCAUUGUGGUCUGCUCUCUAAGAGUCGAGUUGUUUGGGAAUGCAGCUCUAAUUGGGUGGUAAAUUCCAUCUAAAGCUAAAUAUCGACGAGAGACCGAUAGCGAACAAGUACAGUAAUGGAAAGAUGAAAAGUAGCCUGCAGAGGCAAUGAAACAAUACGUGAAACCGUUUGUAGGGAAGCGAUGGAACCUUUUCACGCUGCGAGGGUUCAGCCUUUCUUCGGAUUGGUGUAUUCCCUCGUUUUGCGGACCAGCAUCAGUUUGCUUGGCAGUAUAAGGGUGUUUGGAACGUGGCUCCCACGGGAGUGUUAUAGCCUUUCACUGGAUGCUGCCUCGCAGACUGAGGACUGCAGUGCGCCAUUAUGGCAUAGUCUUCGGGCUACGAGCACUUAGGAUGCUGGGCGAAUGGGUUUCAACGACCCGUCUUGA